RNAcentral lists this ribosomal RNA (206 nucleotides) under uncultured bacterium. Its description in RNAcentral is "partial 16S ribosomal RNA". It matches the Rfam family "Bacterial small subunit ribosomal RNA", at positions 1287 to 1500 of the family's 1533-position model. The record is from RNAcentral.
CUCAGUUCGGAUUGGAGUCUGCAACCCGACUCCAUGAAGCUGGAUUCGCUAGUAAUCGCGCAUCAGCCACGGCGCGGUGAAUACGUUCCCGGGCCUUGUACACACCGCCCGUCAAGCCAUGGAAGCCGGGAGUGCCUGAAGUACGCGACCGCAAGGAGCGUCCUAAGGUAAAACCGGUGACUGGGGCUAAGUCGUAACAAGGUAUC